Molecule: long non-coding RNA, 797 nt
Organism: Acanthopagrus latus (yellowfin seabream)
Lineage: Eukaryota; Metazoa; Chordata; Actinopteri; Spariformes; Sparidae
Exons: 3
Source: RefSeq, a predicted model, not a curated record
CACAACAUGGUUUAUGCUGGUUUUUCCAGUAGGGUAUAGCUGGUUUUGACACAGAAUCCAUCUGAAAUGAGGACUUUUCAUCUUCUCCUUCCUCAGUGAGGCCUCUUUGGAGAAAGUCCGGAUCUGAUUGUAGUUUUGAUUGUGUCUUCUGUCCUCUGGAGUCUGAAUUCCUCCUCACAGGUUCAGGUCGGUCAUGUGAAACACUUCUGGUCAUGUGCCUUCAAACCAGGAAGUGGAUGUUCCUGUCUGCUUGUGCUCACCUGUUGAACUCCAGGAUCCGUCUGCAAACAUUAACUGAAGGUAUCUGAAGAGAUCUGUUUCUGAACAGAUCUUACCUGAGGCGCAUUCGAUUUCCAAGCCGGCAGAUUUCAACCUUAAGCAUCAUGAAGAGAUGUUUCGACCUUCACACAUCGGACCGAAAAAGUUACGAGACAGGAGAGCCGAGCCGGAGGAGGAAGAGGAGCGUGAGAGCACAAGAGCGGACGUCCAGACUUAUUCUGAAGGGACUUUUAAAGGAAACGGCUUCGACAUUGAAAAGAACAUGGAGCUUCACGUUGACUGUUUUAAUUGCCGGAGUCUUGGAUGUGAGACAUCAUCAAAUUAAACCAAAUUUUAUGUAAAAAAUCCCAAAUAAAAGAACCUCCCCAAAAAAAAAAAAAAAACCGUCUGGAGAACUGAGAGAGAUUGAAAGCGCCCCCGAGCGCUGCCGCUGUGUGGAAUUACAAAGGAGGAUUAUCAAAGGCCUGGAAGAUGUCGUAACAUCCCCAGUGUGAUCAAUAAAAUGAUUCAUAAUGCUG